RNAcentral lists this ribosomal RNA (254 nucleotides) under uncultured bacterium. RNAcentral's name for it is "partial 16S ribosomal RNA". It matches the Rfam family "Bacterial small subunit ribosomal RNA", at positions 524 to 776 of the family's 1533-position model. The record is from RNAcentral.
UACGGGGGGGGCGAGCGUUGUUCGGAAUCACUGGGCGUAAAGGGCGCGUAGGCGGCCCGCACAAGUCUGCGGUGAAAACCCCCGGCUUAACCGGGGGCCGGCCGUGGAAACUGUCGGGCUGGAGGCUGGGAGAGGGCAGCGGAAUUCCCGGUGUAGCGGUGAAAUGCGUAGAUAUCUGGAGGAACACCGGUGGCGAAGGCGACAUCCUGGACCGGUAUUGACGCUGAGGCGCGAAAGCCAGGGGAGCAAACGGG